RNAcentral lists this long non-coding RNA (280 nucleotides) under Nicotiana benthamiana. RNAcentral's name for it is "long non-coding RNA (NBEN_LNC020694)". The record is from RNAcentral. Lineage: Eukaryota; Viridiplantae; Streptophyta; Magnoliopsida; Solanales; Solanaceae.
AAAUAUUCUAUUAGUAUCAGUUUAUCAUUAUUUCAACUAAAAUAAACGCGUGAAAGGAAAGCUCAAGGAACAUCUAGUAGGAAAGAAGGAACUAUAAAAAUGCAAGUAAGGGUUUAACUUUUCAUUCACCUUCAAGUCUCUUUCUCCAUUUUUAUGGGCUCUCACGUUUGGGUUUUUAGCAGAUUUCCUUUUCUCUUUCGUUUUUCUCCAAGAAAAUUUUGGGAAGAAAUUGAGAGAUGGGGAAAUACAUAGAGCUUUUAGACGCUGGAAUCAGAAUGGC